Molecule: ribosomal RNA, 443 nt
Filed under: uncultured bacterium
Lineage: Bacteria
Description: partial 16S ribosomal RNA
Rfam family: Bacterial small subunit ribosomal RNA
Source: RNAcentral
CCUACGGGAGGCAGCAGUGGGGAAUAUUGGACAAUGGGGGGAACCCUGAUCCAGCGACGCCGCGUGAGUGAAGAAGUACUUCGGUAUGUAAAGCUCUAUCAGCAGGGAAGAAAGGAAUGACGGUACCUGACUAAGCAGCCCCUGCUAACUACGUGCCAGCAGCCGCGGUAAUACGUAGGGGGCAAGCGUUAGCCGGAUUUACUGGGUGUAAAGGGAGCGUAGACGGUUACGCAAGUCUGGAGUGAAAGGCGGGGGCGCAACCCCGGGACUGCUUUGGAAACUGUAUGACUGGAGUGCAGGAGAGGUAAGUGGAAUUCCUGGUGUAGCGGUGAAAUGCGUAGAGAUUAGGAGGAACACCAGUGGCGAAGGCGGCUUACUGGACUGUAACUGACGUUGAGGCUCGAAAGCGUGGGGAGCAAACAGGAUUAGAUACCCCAGUAGUC